AUAAAGUCGUAAUUUUCCCGC
This 21-nucleotide small nuclear RNA is filed under the name Arabidopsis thaliana (thale cress). RNAcentral's name for it is "snRNA_16063". The record is from RNAcentral. Lineage: Eukaryota; Viridiplantae; Streptophyta; Magnoliopsida; Brassicales; Brassicaceae.